This 429-nucleotide ribosomal RNA is filed under the name uncultured bacterium. RNAcentral's name for it is "bacterial SSU rRNA". It matches the Rfam family "Bacterial small subunit ribosomal RNA", at positions 360 to 782 of the family's 1533-position model. The record is from RNAcentral.
AAUAUUGGACAAUGGGCGCAAGCCUGAUCCAGCAAUACCGCGUGUGUGAAGAAGGCCCUAGGGUUGUAAAGCACUUUCAAUUGGGAGGAAAACCUGCCGGUCAAUACCCGGUAGCUUGACAUUACCUUUAGAAGAAGCACCGGCUAACUCCGUGCCAGCAGCCGCGGUAAUACGGAGGGUGCAAGCGUUAAUCGGAAUUACUGGGCGUAAAGCGUGCGUAGGCGGUUCGUUAAGUCAGAUGUGAAAGCCCCGGGCUUAACCUGGGAACUGCAUUUGAAACUGGCGGACUAGAGUUGAGUAGAGGGGAGUGGAAUUUCAGGUGUAGCGGUGAAAUGCGUAGAUAUCUGAAGGAACACCAGUGGCGAAGGCGACUCCCUGGACUCAAACUGACGCUGAGGUACGAAAGCGUGGGUAGCAAACAGGAUUAGA